AGCGCUUCCUUACCUUCCCAGCAGCUCCCUUCAGCUGUCUAGAGAGUUAGACAGUGGAGCUGAAGGGAGCUGCUGGGAAGGUAAGGAAGCG
This is a non-coding RNA of Pelobates cultripes (western spadefoot toad), 91 nucleotides long. NCBI's taxonomy places the organism in Eukaryota, Metazoa, Chordata, Amphibia, Anura, Pelobatidae. The record is from the annotation of a GenBank genome assembly.